AUUGAACGCUGGCGGCAGGCUUAACACAUGCAAGUCGAGCGGGGGAAGGUAGCUUGCUACCGGACCUAGCGGCGGACGGGUGAGUAAUGCUUAGGAAUCUGCCUAUUAGUGGGGGACAACAUCUCGAAAGGGAUGCUAAUACCGCAUACGUCCUACGGGAGAAAGCAGGGGAUCUUCGGACCUUGCGCUAAUAGAUGAGCCUAAGUCGGAUUAGCUAGUUGGUGGGGUAAAGGCCUACCAAGGCGACGAUCUGUAGCGGGUCUGAGAGGAUGAUCCGCCACACUGGGACUGAGACACGGCCCAGACUCCUACGGGAGGCAGCAGUGGGGAAUAUUGGACAAUGGGGGGAACCCUGAUCCAGCCAUGCCGCGUGUGUGAAGAAGGCCUUAUGGUUGUAAAGCACUUUAAGCGAGGAGGAGGCUACUUUAGUUAAUACCUAGAGAUAGUGGACGUUACUCGCAGAAUAAGCACCGGCUAACUCUGUGCCAGCAGCCGCGGUAAUACAGAGGGUGCGAGCGUUAAUCGGAUUUACUGGGCGUAAAGCGUGCGUAGGCGGCUUAUUAAGUCGGAUGUGAAAUCCCCGAGCUUAACUUGGGAAUUGCAUUCGAUACUGGUGAGCUAGAGUAUGGGAGAGGAUGGU
Molecule: ribosomal RNA, 640 nt
Filed under: Acinetobacter baumannii Naval-81
Lineage: Bacteria; Pseudomonadati; Pseudomonadota; Gammaproteobacteria; Moraxellales; Moraxellaceae
Description: bacterial SSU rRNA
Rfam family: Bacterial small subunit ribosomal RNA
Source: RNAcentral